This 441-nucleotide ribosomal RNA is filed under the name uncultured bacterium. Its description in RNAcentral is "partial 16S ribosomal RNA". It matches the Rfam family "Bacterial small subunit ribosomal RNA", at positions 338 to 795 of the family's 1533-position model. The record is from RNAcentral.
CCUACGGGUGGCAGCAGUGGGGAAUAUUGCACAAUGGGGGAAACCCUGAUGCAGCGACGCCGCGUGAGUGAAGAAGUAUUUCGGUAUGUAAAGCUCUAUCAGCCGGGAAGCAACAAGACGGUACCUAACCAAGAAGCACCGGCUAAAUACAUGACAGCAGCCGCGGUAAUACGUAUGGGGCAAGCGUUAUCCGGAUUUACUGGGUGUAAAGGGAGCGUAGGCGGCUGGGCAGGCCUGAGGUGGAAGCCCGGUGCUCAACCCCGGGACUGCAGUGGGAACUGCCCGGCUGGAGUGCCGGAGGGGCAGGCGGAAUGCGUGGUGUAGCGGUGAAAUGCGUAGAUAUUAGGAGGAACACCAGUGGCGAAGGCGGCCUGCUGGACGGUGACUGACGCUGAGGCUCGAAAGCGUGGGGAGCAAACAGGAUUAGAUACCCGAGUAGUC